UACGUAGGGUGCGAGCGUUGUCCGGAAUUAUUGGGCGUAAAGAGCUCGUAGGUGGUUUGUUACGUCUGCUGUGAAAACCUAGGGCUUAACCCUGGGCUUGCAGUGGAUACGGGCAGACUAGAGGUAGGUAGGGGAGAAUGGAAUUCCUGGUGUAGCGGUGAAAUGCGCAGAUAUCAGGAGGAACACCGGUGGCGAAGGCGGUUCUCUGGGCCUUACCUGACACUGAGGAGCGAAAGCGUGGGGAGCGAACAGG
Molecule: ribosomal RNA, 253 nt
Filed under: uncultured bacterium
Lineage: Bacteria
Description: partial 16S ribosomal RNA
Rfam family: Bacterial small subunit ribosomal RNA
Source: RNAcentral